GUGACUGCUCUGUGCCUCCUCUUACUCCCCCUUUAAUGGAAAUGUCUGUGGCAAUCAUCUUAUGCCUGUUCCCCUGUUCUACACCAUGUGCGUUGAGGGGAAGAUAAUUUAUUUGUUUAGUUCCCAGGUCUUCAGAUUAGCAGAACUAUGCUCAAGGAGUUGUCUCCAAGGAGCCUCACCUGCACCUAGGCCUGCUUUAGCUGAUGAAACUCUGGGCUUUGAGCCUGAGACCAAUUCUGCAACGGGAUAAAGCAUUUCGGGUCUUGAAAGAUGGUGAGUAUACUUUACAUGUGGGGAGAAUGUAAGCAAUUUGUGACCAGAGGCAUGCUGUGGCAGUUUAAAAGCAUGACUCCAAAAUGCUUUAUUACUCCUCCCAUUGAGAAGGAGGUUUAUGUUUUUUUCUCCUUAAAUUCAGGCUCUUCGAUAGCUUGACCAAAAGUAAAUGGCUGAAGCGAUUCUCCACCAGUUUCUGGAGCCAGGGCAUUAAAAAUGGUGGAUUUGAGUUCUUGUAUUUCGUGAUUGCCCCUGGGACCUAACUACCACGCUGUGAGAAGAGAAGACCCAGCAGCCCGUGGGGAGGCCCAUAUAAGAGGAAGCCAAGCCCUCAGCCAUCAAUCAGCACUAAUUUCCUAGUGCUGUGAGUGACCUGCUUUGGAAGUAGAUCCUGCAGUCCACAAAUGUUUAUGGUGUGGAGAAGUGAAGAACUGAUCUUGCUGAGUCCUGCUCAAAUUGCAUGUGGAGCAGAGCACUCGUUCAGUGGCUGGGAAAACCUGAAACAUUGUGUGUAGAGAUGGGAUCCACAAGAAGGUGGUUUUCUCCCUCUGACCUAGAAAGAGGGGCAAGGACUCUGGUGUACUCUGAUGUGCCUGCACAUUAAAACAGCAUGAAGCUACUGCGGUGGGUAUACAGAGAGCGGAAGAUUAGCCCUGAGCUAACAUCCCUGCCCAUCCUCCUCUACCCUAUAUGUAGGACGCCUACCACAGCAUGGCUUGACAAGCAGUGCCCAGGUCUGCACCCGGGACCCGAACUGGUGAACCCUGGGCCACCAAAGCAGAAUUAUGUGAAUGUAACUGCUGUGCCACCAGGCCGGCCCCUGUGUGUGUCUUUUUCUUAAUCAUUGUUAUGUUUUGAAACGUCUUGACUUUUCCAUGAUCAGUUACAUAUUAAAUUAUAUUUUCUUUCCAUAAUGUUUUAUGGUGUCUCUCUUUCACAUUUCACUUUUAAUUCAACUGGAACUUAUUUUAUCAUGUGUUGAGGUGAACAAUUGACUUGAUUUUUUUUCUUAACUCCCAGGUAGCCAUUUUUCUCUACAUAAUAGCUUAAAUAGCUAACAUCAUAUAUUGGCAUAUGUGUACACUUUAACACAUGCUCAGUUUGUAUGUAGAUUUCUUCUCAGAGCUGUCUGUUCUGCUACACUGAUCUAUCAUUUAUUGUGCCAGUUCCACAUCUUUAAUUACUAUAGACUUAUGAUGUUAUUUAAGAGCUGACAAUGCAUGUACCGUCUUAUUCAUCUUUGUUUUUAACACUCUUAUUUAUUUCCCUCCUUUAAUUCAUCAAAAUGGACUUUAGAACCCUAAUUUUUAUGUUUUCUUAAAAUCUCAUCAUGUUUUCUAUCAUAGU
Molecule: long non-coding RNA, 1620 nt
Organism: Equus caballus (horse)
Lineage: Eukaryota; Metazoa; Chordata; Mammalia; Perissodactyla; Equidae
Source: Ensembl